This 416-nucleotide ribosomal RNA is filed under the name uncultured soil bacterium. RNAcentral describes it as "bacterial SSU rRNA". It matches the Rfam family "Bacterial small subunit ribosomal RNA", at positions 26 to 479 of the family's 1533-position model. The record is from RNAcentral.
AGAACGAACGCUGGCGGCAUGCCUAACACAUGCAAGUCGAACGAAGCCUUCGGGCUUAGUGGCGCACGGGUGCGUAACGCGUGGGAAUCUGCCCCUCGGUUCGGAAUAACAGUUGGAAACGACUGCUAAUACCGGAUGAUGACGUAAGUCCAAAGAUUUAUCGCCGAGGGAUGAGCCCGCGUAGGAUUAGCUAGUUGGUGAGGUAAAGGCUCACCAAGGCGACGAUCCUUAGCUGGUCUGAGAGGAUGAUCAGCCACACUGGGACUGAGACACGGCCCAGACUCCUACGGGAGGCAGCAGGUGGGAAAUAGUUGGACAAUGGGCGAAAGCCUGAUCCAGCAAUGCCGCGUGAGUGAUGAAGGCCCGUCGGGUACGUAAAGCUUCUUUUAACCGAGGGUAUGAUAAGUGACAGUACC